This 568-nucleotide long non-coding RNA is filed under the name Ananas comosus (pineapple). RNAcentral's name for it is "long non-coding RNA (ACOM_LNC030740)". Lineage: Eukaryota; Viridiplantae; Streptophyta; Magnoliopsida; Poales; Bromeliaceae. The record is from RNAcentral.
ACAUAUUUUUCUAACUAAAAAGUUUAAUAAAAAAAGGAAAAACUUAAAAAAAAUCCUCUGUGGUUUGACACUUGUUCAUUAGUGCUAUGUGGUUUAAAGUGUAUCAAGUUAGUACCCUAUGGUUUCCCGCUUUAUCAUUUUAAUACUCUAUGAUUUAAAGUGUAUCAAGUUAGUACUAUGUGAUUUUAUUUUUGUAUCAAAUUAGUACCCUGUGGUUUUAUUUUUGUAUCAAGUUAGUACCCUAUAGUUUUUAAACCACAGAAUACUAAAAUGAUAAAGUGCGAAACCGCAGGGUACUAAAGUGAUAAAGUGCAAAACCAAAUGGUACUAACUUGAAACACUAUAAACCACAGGAUACUAAAGUGAUAAAGUGAGAAACCACAGAGUACCAACUUGAUACAUUUUAAACCACAGGGUAGUAAAGUGAUAAAGUGAGAAAUCACAAGGUACUAACUUAAUACAUUUUAAACCGCAGGGCACUAAAAUGAAAAAAAUGUGAAACCACAGGAGGGAUAUUUGAAGUUUUUCCUAAAAUCUAAAAAAAUUAUUUCAAUUCUUGAAUGAAUGA